This 478-nucleotide ribosomal RNA is filed under the name uncultured bacterium. Its description in RNAcentral is "partial 16S ribosomal RNA". It matches the Rfam family "Bacterial small subunit ribosomal RNA", at positions 28 to 507 of the family's 1533-position model. The record is from RNAcentral.
GACGAACGCUGGCGGCGUGCUUAACACAUGCAAGUCGAACGGGAUUUAGUAAACGGAAGCCUCGGUGGAAGACUACUAAUGAGAGUGGCGAACGGGUGCGUAACGCGUGAGCAACCUGCCUAUGACAGUGGGAUAGCCUCGGGAAACCGGGAUUAAUACCGCAUAAAAUCGUAGAAACACAUGUAUCAACGGUCAAAGAUUUAUCGGUCAUAGAUGGGCUCGCGUCUGAUUAGCUAGUUGGUGAGAUAACAGCCCACCAAGGCGACGAUCAGUAGACGGUCUGAGAGGAUGAGCGGCCACAUUGAAACUGAGACACGGUCCAAACUACUACACGAUGCAGCAGAGGGGAAUAUUGCACAAUCGGGUGUACGCUGAUGGAGCGACGCCUCGUGAACGAAGAAGGUAUUCGUAUCGUAAAGUUCUGUCCUAUGGUAAUAUAAUGACAGUACCAUAAAAGAAAGCUCCGGCUAAAUACGUG